This 402-nucleotide ribosomal RNA is filed under the name uncultured prokaryote. Its description in RNAcentral is "bacterial SSU rRNA". It matches the Rfam family "Bacterial small subunit ribosomal RNA", at positions 355 to 774 of the family's 1533-position model. The record is from RNAcentral.
UAGGGAAUAUUAGAAAUGGCCGAAAGUCUGAUCUAGCAACACCGCGUGUGCGAAGAAGGCCUUCGGGUUGUAAAGCACUUUUUGGAAGGAUUAGGAAGGAAUGUACUUCCAGAAUAAGUCUCGGCUAACUACGUGCCAGCAGCCGCGGUAACACGUAGGAGGCAAACGUUAUCCGGAUUUACUGGGCGUAAAGCGCGUGUAGGUGGUUCGGUAAGUAGGGCGUGAAAGCUCCUGGCUCAACUGGGAGAGGCCGUUCUAAACUGCAGAGCUAGAGGAUGGUAGAGGGAGGUGGAAUUCCGGGUGGAGCGGUGGAAUGCGCAGAUAUCCGGAGGAACACCAGUGGCGAAAGCGGCCUCCUGGACCAUUCCUGACACUCAGACGCGAAAGCUAGGGUAGCAAACG